AACAGGAGGGAAAAAGUGAUCAGAAAAUGGCGCAUGAGGUUUCUCAAACAAGAGUGAAGCUCCCAAUACACAACUAUGAAUCCAUUCUUGAAGAAGCAGUUGCACAUACUGACUAUCCCUCCUCCACAAACAAGCUAUAUGAUCAGCUCUACUCCGGAAUGUUCUUAAACCAAAUGAAAAAGGGCCCCUUCUUCAUUGAUGGCUCCUUCACCGAAUCUUGACCAAGCAACAAAUCCUUUUCCAAUGAUAAAUUCGGAUGAAGCAAGUCCAUCAUGCAGUGCCUUUCCUCAAAGCUAUUGUGGUUUCCAACCAAAUCAAUUCUAAAUAACAAUCAUAUUAUAAUAGUGUUAUUUCAGUCAUUUUGUUAUGUUUUUAGGACAUCUUUAGUGUUUUCAUCUUAUGUAUCUUUAAGUCAUGAGACCUAAUAAAUUAAACAAGGUUAUGCACCAACAAGUUUUUCAACUUGUAUUUUUGGUGAUUCAUAUACCUUAUGAAGUGAUGAAGGUUAAUAUGUUAAAAGGUGUAAGAUUAAGGAACUAAAAGGUGAAAAGUAUAAGAAUAAUAGUGAAAUUCAAUGUCAUGUUCUCUCUUGGAGUUGUAUAAAAAGGGUGCUCCUCUCAUUUGAACACAAACAAAAAUUGAGUUCUCUCAAUCUCCCUUUAAUUUCCAAAGUUGUUUCUUUCUAAGUUUUUGUGGUGGAGUUCAGGUUUAAUUUAGUUUAUCUUAAUAGAAGAGUUGUGUCUCUCUUGCUAUUUUUACGUCGUUGUAUUCUAAGAAAGAGUCAUUGUUCAAAUAUUUGAAACUUGAGUAAAUGAGA
Long non-coding RNA from Mangifera indica (mango), 817 nucleotides. RefSeq lists it as uncharacterized. The record is from RefSeq and is a predicted model, not a curated record. The transcript has 2 exons. NCBI's taxonomy places the organism in Eukaryota, Viridiplantae, Streptophyta, Magnoliopsida, Sapindales, Anacardiaceae.